Molecule: ribosomal RNA, 497 nt
Filed under: uncultured bacterium
Lineage: Bacteria
Description: partial 16S ribosomal RNA
Rfam family: Bacterial small subunit ribosomal RNA
Source: RNAcentral
GAUGAACGCUGGCGGCGUGCCUAAUACAUGCAAGUCGAGCGAACAGACGAGGAGCUUGCUCCUCUGACGUUAGCGGCGGACGGGUGAGUAACACGUGGAUAACCUACCUAUAAGACUGGGAUAACUUCGGGAAACCGGAGCUAAUACCGGAUAAUAUAUUGAACCGCACGGUUCAAUAGUGAAAGACGGUUUUGCUGUCACUUAUAGAUGGAUCCGCGCCGCAUUAGCUAGUUGGUAAGGUAACGGCUUACCAAGGCGACGAUGCGUAGCCGACCUGAGAGGGUGAUCGGCCACACUGGAACUGAGACACGGUCCAGACUCCUACGGGAGGCAGCAGUAGGGAAUCUUCCGCAAUGGGCGAAAGCCUGACGGAGCAACGCCGCGUGAGUGAUGAAGGUCUUCGGAUCGUAAAACUCUGUUAUUAGGGAAGAACAAAUGUGUAAGUAACUAUGCACGUCUUGACGGUACCUAAUCAGAAAGCAACGGCUAACUACGUG